UAUAAUGCAAGUCGAGCGGACAGAUGGGAGCUUGCUCCCUGAAGUCAGCGGCGGACGGGUGAGUAACACGUGGGCAACCUGCCUGUAAGACUGGGAUAACUCCGGGAAACCGGGGCUAAUACCGGAUAAUUCUUUCCCUCACAUGAGGGAAAGCUGAAAGAUGGUUUCGGCUAUCACUUACAGAUGGGCCCGCGGCGCAUUAGCUAGUUGGUGAGGUAACGGCUCACCAAGGCAACGAUGCGUAGCCGACCUGAGAGGGUGAUCGGCCACACUGGGACUGAGACACGGCCCAGACUCCUACGGGAGGCAGCAGUAGGGAAUCUUCCGCAAUGGACGAAAGUCUGACGGAGCAACGCCGCGUGAGUGAUGAAGGUUUUCGGAUCGUAAAACUCUGUUGUUAGGGAAGAACAAGUACCGGAGUAACUGCCGGUACCUUGACGGUACCUAACCAGAAAGCCACGGCUAACUACGUGCCAGCAGCCGCGGUAAUACGUAGGUGGCAAGCGUUGUCCGGAAUUAUUGGGCGUAAAGCGCGCGCAGGCGGUUCCUUAAGUCUGAUGUGAAAGCCCCCGGCUCAACCGGGGAGGGUCAUUGGAAACUGGGGAACUUGAGUGCAGAAGAGAAGAGUGGAAUUCCACGUGUAGCGGUGAAAUGCGUAGAGAUGUGGAGGAACACCAGUGGCGAAGGCGACUCUUUGGUCUGUAACUGACGCUGAGGCGCGAAAGCGUGGGGAGCAAACAGGAUUAGAUACCCUGGUAGUCCACGCCGUAAACGAUGAGUGCUAAGU
RNAcentral lists this ribosomal RNA (787 nucleotides) under Bacillus sp. Y1029. Its description in RNAcentral is "bacterial SSU rRNA". It matches the Rfam family "Bacterial small subunit ribosomal RNA", at positions 52 to 821 of the family's 1533-position model. The record is from RNAcentral. Lineage: Bacteria; Bacillati; Bacillota; Bacilli; Caryophanales; Bacillaceae.